UACGUAGGGUGCAAGCGUUGUCCGGAAUUAUUGGGCGUAAAGAGCUCGUAGGCGGUUUGUUGCGUCGGCUGUGAAAUCCCGAGGCUCAACCUCGGGUCUGCAGUCGAUACGAGCAAACUAGAGUGUUGCAGGGGAGACUGGAAUUCCUGGUGUAGCGGUGAAAUGCGCAGAUAUCAGGAGGAACACCGGUGGCGAAGGCGGUUCUCUGGGCAUUACCUGACGCUGAGGAGCGAAAGCGUGGGGAGCAAACUGG
Molecule: ribosomal RNA, 253 nt
Filed under: uncultured bacterium
Lineage: Bacteria
Description: partial 16S ribosomal RNA
Rfam family: Bacterial small subunit ribosomal RNA
Source: RNAcentral